This is a small nucleolar RNA of Cervus hanglu yarkandensis (Yarkand deer), 120 nucleotides long. NCBI's taxonomy places the organism in Eukaryota, Metazoa, Chordata, Mammalia, Artiodactyla, Cervidae. The record is from Ensembl.
CUCGAGACUACAAUCACAUCCUGACAGCUCUUGGUCCUGGUGUGCUAGAGUCCUUGGAGAAAAUCUGCUGCUCUUGAUUCACAGUCAUUGCCCCCAGCAGUGCCCAGAUCAGACACAUGC